Molecule: long non-coding RNA, 1031 nt
Organism: Oncorhynchus keta (chum salmon)
Lineage: Eukaryota; Metazoa; Chordata; Actinopteri; Salmoniformes; Salmonidae
Exons: 3
Source: RefSeq, a predicted model, not a curated record
GCGUGGUCGGCCUGACAUCCUCAUCUCAGAGUCUACCUACGCCACCACCUCCCGUGACUCAGGGAAAGGCACUUCCUGAAGAAAAUACAUGAGACAGUGGAGAGAGGAGGAAAGGUUCUGAUGCCAGUCUUGUCAGCCCUGGGAAGAGCUCAGGAACUGUGCAUUCUAUUAGAAACAUUCUGGUAAGGUUUUGAUUCCGAGUUUAAUUUGCCAGUUCAAUUAGUAUUGUGAUCAUAGUGUCCAUUUGUUAAGAUGCCAUUAAUUGUGUGUUGAUUUGGCGUUAGGCAAUUCAGAAAAUAAUUUCACAGUAACACUCCUCUCCUUCCAAUGGGAGCGAAUGAACAUGAAGGCCCCCCAUCUACUUCUCCACAGGGCUCACCGAGAAAGCCAAUCACCUCUACAAACUCUUCAUCACCUGGACCGAUCAGAAAAACCUUUGAACAGAGAAACACGUUUGAGUUCAAACACAUCAAGGCCUUUGAACGCUCCUACGCAGACAACCAAGGACCAAUGGGGCAGAAACAUCAUAUUUUUGUGGAGUACAUGUCGUUCAGCAUCCAUGCAGACGCUAAGGGCAUCAUGCAGCUCUUCCGCAUGGCAGAGCCUCGCAACAUGCCGCUGGUGCACGGAGAGGCCAGCCAAGAAGAUGGAGUUCUUCAACUUCUUCAAGAUCGAGCAGUUCAGGGAGUGACACCAAGAUGUCCUUGUAACCCUAACUGUAUCAAGAAUGUCAGGGGGUUAGAGAAAAGGAUAUAGAAUUGCAGUGUGUGCCACAUGUUUGAGGAGCUCUGGGUAGUGUUUAGUAGUAGGGCACAGCAAAAUGUUUUGCAACAGAAAACAACCGUCUUCUUAUUAGACAAGUUCACAUUUCGCAGUGGGGAGAAAAAGGUUUUCUCCCCACUGAACAGCCCUGGUAUUAUCCAUUUAUUUUGAUCGGUGUUCAUUGUUUGUGGAUUUGUAAAAAGUUAUUUAAUACAGUCGAUGCACUGAAAUGAAACGUCCGAAAAUGAACACUUGGAUUAUAGUGAUGU